UGCUUAGAAACCACCUUUGGAGAAUGCUAAUGCAUUUAAAUAAUAGUGUAUCAUAGACAACAACAUGCUCCGCGUAAGAUAUAAAGAAAAACCUUCUCUCUACCAUACUUGUUUUAGUCUUUAGAAAAUGUAAAAAAAUGUAGAUUAUGGUAGUUAAAGAUAUAGGAGCCUUCAACAACUCUAUGGCCAGGCAGCAUUCAUAGGAUUGGAACAGGAAGAAAUAGACAACAGGGAAUGAAGAAAUUGACCAGGAGAGAAAAACAGGCAAUUCACCGUCUACUUCUCCUAGGAUCAUCGGCACACUUGUAUGAGUAUACACUCCCUCCCACUUUCAACUGAGAGCCUCAAAAAUGAGUUCUUGUUCUGCUACUUUAAUUUAUAUCUUUAGAAAAGAACUACAGUUCUUUAUUGGUUGCCUGAAGAGUUCUGCUGAGAGAGAUUUUCCAACUCUGAGUCUAUAAAUAACAUACGGAGCUGUGGAAACAUCACCAAGCAUCCCAACAACUCACUUGGCUUCUCCCUAAAUUUGUGGCAGAGAAAGAAGAUGAGUAGAAAGACAAGGCGUGCAGCAAGCAAGCAAACAGUGAAGAACACUGAUGGGACCCUUGCUCAAUCAAUUCAACUAUAAGUAGGCUUUUUGGAGGGAUGCUGGGAACAGUUAGUACAACUGUGUAGGAGAUUAUAUUAAGACAGUUAUGAGUGGGAAAUUGGGUACACACGAAAACAAUUAGAAUGCUCAGAGAAGUCUGUGGACGUAUGAGGCAAGGUAUGACUGGGGUCUGGGAUUUGUUUUAAAAUAUUUUAUCAGAAAAGUGAGGGAGAGAUGCAGCAACUGUGGCCAGCUCUGGAUAACUGUUGAUCUGGGUAAUGGCACAGUAUACUAGUAUCUCUACUUUUGCAUGUAUCUGAAUUUUUCAAAAUUAAAAGGUUUUGUUAAAGUACUUGUUCCAUUUUAAAAGAGGGAUGAUAGAGUAUCUGUCAAAUAUUUUAAGGUAAAAAAUAGAAAAGACUAGAAGAUACAUAUGCGAGGAGAUGGGUAUAUUAACUAGCUUAACUAAUUUCCCAGCAUACUCAUACACAUAUAUCCAAAACCAUGCUGCACACUGUAAAUAUAUACACGUUUUCUUUGUCACUAAUACCUUAAUAAAGAUGAGUGGGGGGUGUUAAUGAUAGAUUCAUAAAGUUGAGAGGAGAAUAGACCCUAAGAAUCAUAGAAAAAAAAAAGAACCAGGAAAUUAGAAGAUGGGGUGGGAUUGGGGUGGUGGGAGUGCAUCUGGAUCUGCCUCGGAAUAUUUCCAGAACUGACCUCGCCUGGCUGAAUGACCUGGUGACAGUUGGUAAAGGGCCUGGCGCCCCAGGUGUGUCUAGGGGAUGAUUGCCUGGCUGUAGCCCCAGUACUGGGUGGAGUUACUCAAGGCCUCAGACUUUCCUAAGUGUCUUCAUGAGCUGCGAUGGUCCUGUCCUGUCCGGUGACAGGUGGGCAGCCCUCCUGUCGUGCUCACCUUCCAGGAGCCACUUCGUCUCAGCAACACACCAAUCUUGUGAGCUUUCCUGAGGUUGGAAGCCCAUCUGUCUCUGUUGGGGCUCUUGACUCUUUGUGGUUCCCCCGCCUUUCAGCACCGCAGACAAGGACCAGGUGACAAGAAAAGGUGAGAUGACUCCAAAUACGCGCUUGUCCUGUACUUUUACAUUUACCCAACUUUUCUCAUUAUAGGGAGGCCAAGGUGGAAAAAUCCAGGCAAAGAAAGAGAAAACCAACCAUACCACCCAAAAAAACAUGCCAGAUGGCAGGAAAGAUGCCUAUGAUUCUAGCGGCUUUUGCAUAUAUUUAUUUAGCCCAGUCAUUUACAAAACAAAGCCCAGAAAUUCCAGGUAUCUCUCCUAAGCAAAAGGACCACUCCUGUUUGCUUCUGGUCAUCAGGUAAACCUUGGGUAAAACCUAAGCUCCUGAGUCAGAUCUUUCCAGAGAGGGGUCAGACUUGGUACCCGCCAUUGCUUUCUUUUCCAGCUGUCGAACUCAGAGGCAAACCAAGAGUUGCCCACAACUGGGAAAAUGUUCAAGAGAUGCUUCUUCUACCUAUGUCAAGGGCAAAUUUCCUCCACAGCAGUCACACACACACACACACACACACAAAAAAAAAAAAAAAAAAAACAACAAAUAAAUAAAUAAAUAAAGGUAAUGGCUUAAACCAUGGCGGUGCCUGAGAUGCUCUAACUGACCUGAGCUCCUCAAAGAAGUCCUGAUGAGGACUAUCUGGUUCUCACAAUGUUAUCAGGCGUCAACAGACUUUGCCUCCCUUGAAAGUGCUUCCAAUUGUUUCAGCGGCUAAAGCGACCUAAAUCAACAUUGGAUAUAGCAAAGAAAACAAACCACUUAUAAACUUUCCCAUACCUGCCAAAACUGGAAAGCUAAAAAUAGGGGGUAGCAAACACUGUUCAAAAAUAUUUCUCCAGGAGAAAACAGGCGGAAAACACUGGAUAAUUUUCAAAGAAGUAAAGGAUUUUUUUUUUAAAGUUAGCUCAUUUUGCAACUUGGAAUUUCUGUGGUGGUAAGGAAGUGAGGAAAACAUAACUCAGCCGUGAUGAUAUGAUUCCUACACCAACGUUAAAUUAUUGGCUGCUUCACUUAGCAGUUACACUGCACACAACAUUGAUGGAAUGCUUCAUUCCCCUGGCCCUGUGGAGGCUUCGAGAGGAUGGGCUCUUUUCUACCAAGAGAAUGGUCCAUUGGUUUGUCAAGAUCAUUUAGAAAUUGAACCAGAACUCAGAUCAAAAUCUACAGUGCAAUUUCUGAUAUCAAAUCACACAGCCAUCUCUUUAAUCAUGAGCUUUUUUUUUUCUUGUUGUUGUUUUCAAGUACUUAACUCUGGUGAAGUGCUUGUUACUGUUCAAAGGAAUAGAAGUCUUUGGAGUUGAACUCUCUUGAAUUAGAAUCCAUCUCGCCUGUGCCGUUAUCUGCCUGGGUCUCCCACACCUGUGGGUUUUCUCUGAGAAUGGUUAGUUGAUCUGGCAACUGAUUCAAGGACUGAAAACCAAUCAAUGCAGAAAAAAUAAAAGUAUGUCUUUCACAGGCAGAAUCCUGUCAUAGCACAUAAUUUUUCCUCUGUAAAUUGAAAAUUAAGUAAAUAGUGUGUAUGAAGUGCUGGACAUGGCUGACAAUUGCAAAUAUUCCAUAAAUGGCUGUAGUUAUUUUAAUAGUAAUAAACACUCCCAAAACAAUCAUUUCCCAGAUGAAAAUGACCUUGUUUAUGUGUACACAUGCUA
Oryctolagus cuniculus (rabbit) is the source of this 3264-nucleotide non-coding RNA. NCBI's taxonomy places the organism in Eukaryota, Metazoa, Chordata, Mammalia, Lagomorpha, Leporidae. The record is from RefSeq and is a predicted model, not a curated record.